CAUGAACACGGAUCACUGCAGCUUCGACUUCCUGGCUCAAGCAAUCCUUCCACUUCCUGGCUCAAGCAAUCCUUCCACCUCAGCCUCCUAGUAACUGCAUCCUGGGCAAUAUCCCCAGCUGAAAGAUUACGCUUCCCAGCCUUCCUUGCAGCUAGACGUAGCCAUAUGACAAAAUGACGCCCAAUGAAGCAUACAUAGAAAAGUCAUGUGAGACUUCUGGAAAAGCUUCUGUAAAAGUGAGGAGCAGACACCCUUUUCUUUUUCUUCUCCUUUCUCUUGCUGUUGGCCUGGAAUGUGGACCUGAUGGAUGGAGCUCUGGCAAUCAUCUUGGAGUAUGAAGUGACCUUAAGGAUGAACAGAAAAGAAAAUGAGCCUGGGCCUUUAAUGACACAGUGGAGCUGCUCCCAGCUUGGCUACCUUCCUCUUAGUCUGCUUUUAUAAGAAAAUAUAUAUAUAUCUUGUUUAAG
This 467-nucleotide long non-coding RNA is filed under the name Homo sapiens (human). Its description in RNAcentral is "non-protein coding lnc-FAM71A-1:3". The record is from RNAcentral. Lineage: Eukaryota; Metazoa; Chordata; Mammalia; Primates; Hominidae.